Non-coding RNA from Acanthosepion pharaonis, 108 nucleotides. The record is from the annotation of a GenBank genome assembly. NCBI's taxonomy places the organism in Eukaryota, Metazoa, Mollusca, Cephalopoda, Sepiida, Sepiidae.
GACCAUAUCACCUUGAAAGUCGUUCUCGUAUGAUCACCGAAGUUAAGCAAUAUCGACCCUAGUCAGUACUUAGAUGAGUGACCGCUAGGGAAUACCAGGUGCCGUAAG